GACGAACGCUGGCGGCGUGCCUAACACAUGCAAGUCGAACGCUGAAGAGAGGAGCUUGCUCGCCUUGCUUGAGUUGCGAACGGGUGAGUAACGUGUAGGUAACCCGCCUUGUUGCGGGGGAUAACUAUCUGAAACGAUAGCUAAUACCGCAUAACCAUCGCUGACCCAUGUCAUUUAUUUGAAAGGCGCAAAUGCUUCACUUCAAGAUGGACCUGCGUUGCAUUAGCUUGUAGGGGGGGUAACGGCUUACCUAGGCCACGAUCCAUAGCCGGCCUGAGAGGGGGAUCGGCCACACUGGGACCGGGACAAGGCCCAAGACUCUACGGGGGGGAGCCAGAGGGGAUCUUUGGAAAAGGGGGGAAAGCUGGACGCAGAACGGCGGGGGGGAGGAGGAAGGUUUCGGGUCGGUAAAGUCCGUUGUGAGUGGAGGAAGGGAGUAAAGGUGAAAAGUUCACACAGUGACGGUAGCUGAAGAAGAAGCGACGGCUAACUACGUG
RNAcentral lists this ribosomal RNA (497 nucleotides) under uncultured bacterium. RNAcentral's name for it is "partial 16S ribosomal RNA". It matches the Rfam family "Bacterial small subunit ribosomal RNA", at positions 28 to 507 of the family's 1533-position model. The record is from RNAcentral.